GAUGAAGAACGCAGCGAAAUGCGAUACUUGGUGUGAAUUGCAGAAUCCCGUGAACCAUCGAGUCUUUGAACGCAAGUUGCGCCUCAAGCCAUUAGGUUGAGGGCACGUCUGCCUGGGCGUCACAUAUCGUUGCCUGAUGCCAGUUUCCUCGUGAUGGGUGACUGUGCAGGGCGAAUGAUGGCUUCCCGUGAGCAUUGUUGCCUCAUGGUUGGUUGAAAAUCGAGUCCUUGGUAGGGAGCGCCGUGAUAGAUGGUGGUUGAGUGACGAACGAGACCCAAUCAUGUGAGACCCCUACCGAAUUUGGCCUUCAUGACCCACAUGCGUCUUUGGAACGCUCAUGACGAGACCUCAGGUCAGGCGGGGCUACCCGCUGAGUUUAAGCAUAUCAAUAAGCGGAGGA
This 400-nucleotide unclassified non-coding RNA is filed under the name soil metagenome. RNAcentral's name for it is "partial contains 5.8S ribosomal RNA, internal transcribed spacer 2, and large subunit ribosomal RNA". The stretch from base 1 to 122 matches the Rfam family "5.8S ribosomal RNA", at positions 35 to 154 of the family's 154-position model. The record is from RNAcentral.